ACUCAAAUGAAUUGACGGGGACCCGCACAAGCAGCGGAGCGUGUGGUUUAAUUCGAGGCUACGCGAAGCACCUUACCAGGGAUUGACAUGAUUGUGGUAGUGAAGCGAAAGCGGAACGACCCUUCGGGGAGCGAUCACAGGUGAUGCAUGGCUGUCGUCAGCUCGUGCCGUGAGGUGUUUGGUUAAGUCCACUAACGAGCGCAACCCCUAGCGCCAGUUACACGUGUCUGGCGCGACUGCCGGUAUGAAGCCGGAGGAAGGUGGGGACGACGUCAAGUCAGCAUGUCCUUUAUACCCUGGGCGACACACACGCUACAAUGGCCAGCACAAUGGGUCGCCAAGCCGUGAGGCGGAGCCAAUCCUAAAAAGCUGGUCUCAGUUCGGAUUGCAGGCUGCAACCCGCCUGCAUGAAGUCGGAGUUGCUAGUAACCGCAGGACAGCUAUACUGCGGUGAAUACGUUCCCGGGUCUUGUACACACCGCCCGU
This 486-nucleotide ribosomal RNA is filed under the name uncultured bacterium. RNAcentral's name for it is "partial 16S ribosomal RNA". It matches the Rfam family "Bacterial small subunit ribosomal RNA", at positions 899 to 1397 of the family's 1533-position model. The record is from RNAcentral.